UACGUAGGGGGGCAAGCGUUGUCCGGAUUUAUUGGGCGUAAAGAGCGUGUAGGCGGUUUGGUAGGUCCGCUGUGAAAACUCGAGGCUCAACCUCGAGACGCCGGUGGAAACCAUCAGACUAGAGUCCGGAAGAGGAGAGUGGAAUUCCUGGUGUAGCGGUGAAGUGCGCAGAUAUCAGGAAGAACACCCGUGGCUAAGGCGGCUCGCUGGGACGUUACUGGACGCUGGAGACGCGAAAGCGUGGGGAGCAAACAGG
RNAcentral lists this ribosomal RNA (256 nucleotides) under uncultured bacterium. RNAcentral describes it as "partial 16S ribosomal RNA". It matches the Rfam family "Bacterial small subunit ribosomal RNA", at positions 524 to 776 of the family's 1533-position model. The record is from RNAcentral.